CUAGUUUCCACAAACAGGGCUGGAAGACAUCAGAUCUUGCCUUGGUCCUGAGAUGGACUCCAGGCUCUUCUGUGUGGCCUUGAGUCUCCUGUGUGCAAAACACAUGGAGGCUGCAGUCACCCAAGACCCAAGAAGCAAGGUGACAGUAACAGGAAGAAAAGUGACACUGAACUGUCGCCAGACUUACAACCACAACAAUAUGUACUGGUAUCGGCAGGACCCGGGUCAUGGACUGAAGCUGAUCCAUUACUCAUAUGGUGCUGACAACAUUGAGAAAGGAGAUGUCCCUGAUGGGUACACGGUUACCAGACCAAACCAAGAGAACUUCUCCCUCAUUCUGGAGAUGGCUUCCCCCUCUCAGACAGCUGUGUACUUCUGUGCCAGCAGUGAUGCACAGCAAUGUGUGGCUGUCUCCCCUUUGCACAUAAAGUAAAUUAGGAAGACAAGUUUCCUGUGUGCCUCAGGAAGUCCCUGCCUUUUAAGAGUCAUUGAGCUCUAACAAACCAGGAACAUUUCAGCAUGGGUCUCAGCCUCACUGAAGUCCAUUCUAAUUCCUUUUCAUGGCUGCUUGUCUCAAAUCCACCCCUUGUUUCUGCUUACAGAAAGAAACCUGAAUUCUUAACUGAAGUCCUGAUGAUAAGCUGACAGUCACUAUCUCCCUCCCUGUGGACUUCAAGUUAACUCUUCAACCACUUUACUAUCCACCUGAGUCACAUAUUAUGAACUCUUCAGACUGUGUUUACUCUAUAGGUCAGUAGCCCUUUUUAUUCUACAGGACAGUAGCCCAUAAGGUCCUAUGUCAUUUUCUUCACUCAUCUCUAUCACCAGCUUUACCCAGCCUUCCCUGUUCUUUCCUCUACAGCUGAACUUGUCUGCAUUCCAUUACUUCCUCAUAUGUGUUGUGCUGUUUUCAAAUAUAGAGACAUUUCCUAGGACAUUUCUUCUGCACUGAAGUCAUGCCUUUCCCUCUUCCUCUGGAUCUCUACUUCCCAUGAACAUCUAUUUAGAUUGGAUUAUUUUUCUAAGAUUUUAAUGUAAUUAUAUUAUUUCUUCUCUUACUUCUUCCUCUAGUCCCUCACAUUAUUCUCUCCUCUUUCAAA
Non-coding RNA from Peromyscus leucopus (white-footed mouse), 1100 nucleotides. The record is from the annotation of a RefSeq genome assembly. Lineage: Eukaryota; Metazoa; Chordata; Mammalia; Rodentia; Cricetidae.